This 255-nucleotide ribosomal RNA is filed under the name uncultured bacterium. RNAcentral describes it as "partial 16S ribosomal RNA". It matches the Rfam family "Bacterial small subunit ribosomal RNA", at positions 524 to 776 of the family's 1533-position model. The record is from RNAcentral.
UACGGAGGGUGCGAGCGUUGUCCGGAAUCACUGGGCGUAAAGGGCGCGUAGGCGGCUUGGGAAGUCCGUGGUGAAAGCUCGAGGCUCAACUUCGAGUCGGCCAAGGAUACUCCUAAGCUCGAGUCGACUAGAGGCAGAUGGAAUUCCGGGUGUAGCGGUGGAAUGCGUAGAGAUCCGGAAGAACACCGGUGGCGAAGGCGGUCUGCUGGGGUCGAACUGGACGCUGAGGCGCGACAGCGUGGGGGAGCAAACAGG